Gossypium arboreum is the source of this 106-nucleotide small nucleolar RNA. It matches the Rfam family "Plant small nucleolar RNA R71". Rfam says of the family: R71 is a member of the C/D box family of snoRNAs containing the C (UGAUGA) and D (CUGA) box motifs. Multiple nearly identical copies of this snoRNA have been identified in Arabidopsis, and it is thought to function as a 2'-O-ribose methylation guide for 18S ribosomal RNA. The record is from Rfam. Lineage: Eukaryota; Viridiplantae; Streptophyta; Magnoliopsida; Malvales; Malvaceae.
AAUUCAUGGUGUAGGCAUUUUUGAAUCAACAUUUUGAAAUGUUCCCAUGCCUCAUAGAAAAUUUUUCCCUCCAUUUGUCUAAAGAUAGCGAUCUCUCCUUUUAUUU